UACGUAGGUGGCAAGCGUUGUCCGGAUUUAUUGGGUUUAAAGGGUGCGUAGGUGGCCCUGUAAGUCAGUGGUGAAAUCUCCGGGCUUAACCCGGAAACUGCCAUUGAUACUAUUUGUCUUGAAUACUGUGGAGGUCAGCGGAAUAUGUCAUGUAGCGGUGAAAUGCUUAGAUAUGACAUAGAACACCAAUUGCGAAGGCAGCUGGCUACACAAAUAUUGACACUGAGGCACGAAAGCGUGGGGAUCAAACAGG
This 253-nucleotide ribosomal RNA is filed under the name uncultured bacterium. RNAcentral's name for it is "partial 16S ribosomal RNA". It matches the Rfam family "Bacterial small subunit ribosomal RNA", at positions 524 to 776 of the family's 1533-position model. The record is from RNAcentral.